RNA transcript from Gordionus sp. m RMFG-2023, 1660 nucleotides. RefSeq lists it as uncharacterized. The transcript is spliced from 2 exons. NCBI's taxonomy places the organism in Eukaryota, Metazoa, Nematomorpha, Gordioida, Chordodea, Parachordodidae. The record is from RefSeq and is a predicted model, not a curated record.
AUUGAUAAUCUAUAUAUAUAGAUAUUAAACUUUAUUUUUAUUAAUAAAAAAAAAUUAUACUUGACUAUCUUCUUAAAAAUAUAAAAAAGGUUGUGAUCUUCUUAAAAAUCGUUAAUUAAAAAAAGAUCGUUAAUUAAAAAUGGUUGAUUAUUAAUUAAUAAAACAAAGAAAAUAAAUUUAAACCAAUAAAAUAGAUAGAAAAUAAAUUUAAACCAAUGAAAUAAGACCUUAAUAAACCAAUUAAAGAUUAAUUACCCAAUAAAAAUAAAUAAUAGCAAAAUAAUAAAGUAUAUAAGAAAGAUUAUAUUACAAAAUUUAAUAUAGAAGGUGGUUGAGCGGGAAGAACGUUUGCCUUUAAAUCGUUAGGUCAUGGGUUCGAAUCUAUACAAAAAAUUUUCUUAAAAUUUAACAUUAGAGAGAUAUAGUCUCCAUAGAUUUAUUUAACAUUAAGAAGAUAGGAAAGUUGAUAAGAAAAAUAAAAAUUAACAUUAAGGAUAUGCGAAAACGUUCAUUUCUUGAUUACAGUGAUUAUAUAUAUAAUAUAGAUAAUACAUUUUAAAUUGAAAUAAUUUAAAGAACCAAAAAAUCUUGCUAUUGUUACAAAUUUUUAAAUAACAAUGGGGGAGAGAGAGAGACGGGGGAGGGAUUGGUCAUUUCUAUUUUGAUCUUUAUUUUUCGGAUCUUUAUCAAUUUUCAUUUAAUUUUUUUAGUAUAACCUAGCAAUAAUUAAUUUUGAUAAAUAAAUUUAUAAGUGAGUGCUCAUGGUAUAUUAAAUUAAUAUGGGUGGAUAUUUUAUGCCCCCAAAAAAUUUCUGCAAUUAUAUAUCAGUAUUCCAAAAAAAACACAAAAUCUUUCGAAAAAUAUUCGAAAUAUUAUUAUCUAAAUGUCAAGAAAAAGAUUUAUUUCCUGAUCCAUAUAUAUACAUAGAUUUCGAAAUGUUUGCUAUGAGCGCGGUUAAAACUGUCAUUGUGGAUCACAUCAUAAUCAGAGGAUGUUAUACCAAAUGUGUCAAAGUACCCAAAGAAAACUACAAAAGCUAGGUCCGGAAAGACAAUACAGAACCAAUGAAGCCCUAAGCUUCUUUUGUGGCAUGAUGGACGGCUUAGCAUUUGUUCCUUUAUGUGAUAUGGGCAAUGCAAAUGCAUUCCUGAGAUCAGUUACUCCGACCAAUGGUAAAGAUAUUAAUAUUUCGAUAAAAAUUACAUCAAUGGAGUAAAGGGAGGUCACAAGAAGCAAUUCUCAAUCCCAGACACGUCGAAUUGGGCCUCGAUUUUCUCAAUAAACUUGGAUCGUGAAUGAGAGCACUCUAUCCGAUGAAGAACCCACAAAUAAUCAAUGCGAAGGUUGGGAUCAUCGUUUUUCAUAUCUGGUUGGGAAUAAACGCCAAUCAAUUUGGGUAUUGAUUAAUAAAAUGAAAUGCGAGGUUGCUGCCGACGAAACCAAACUUGAACGAUGGCGUGUAGGUAGUUGGACACCAAAACAAAAUCGCAGAGUUAUAAUACCCAGAUUCGGUUAAAGAAACUUCGCGAGGAAUACCGUGAUAGAGUGCAAAGCCUUCCAGAUUAGAUUUUAUGAGGGCUAUUUUCACCUUUAUUUGAUGUCAACCGAUAUAAUUAUUAUUCUAAAUUAUUAGAUUUGUAUAUACAUAAUGAUUUUCCAA